AAACGGCGAGUGAAGAAGCUUAAAAUCUCCGUGCAAGUUUUGUGCGGCGAAUUGUAGUCUAAGCGUGGGCGCUUGGGGCAAGUUCCUUGGAAGAGGACAGCAUGGAGGGUGAUACUCCCGUUCAUCCCUGAGUGGCUCGUGCGUACGACCCGUUUUCUUUGAGUCGCGUUGUUUGGGAAUGCAGCGCAACCCAAGUAGGUGGUAAAGCUUCCAUCUAAAGCUAAAUAUUGGUGCGAGACCGAUAGCGAACAAGUACCGUGAGGGAAAGAUGAAAAGAACUUUGAAAAGAGAGUUAAAGAGUACCUGAAACUGCUGAAAGGGAACCGAAUCGUUUCCAGUGUCUAUAAUCUGUGGCAUAUUUCAUUGGCGAGCGUUUGGUGCGUGUGCUGUGGCAGUGGCUUUUUCCCUGGCUGGCCUGGUGUGUGUGGUGUGAGUGUUUGCUGGUGCCCUGUGCUGCGGUGGGACGUCAAGGUCAGUUCGUAUGCUGCGGGAAAUGGCUGCGAGGAGGUAGGGCUUACGCUCCGCGUUUGUCUGUUAUAUCUUGGUGGACGAGUCGUCGCGGUUGGGACUGAGGUGCCUACAACGUGCUUUUGAGUGGGUUUGUGUCUCCGUGUGCGCCGUGUGCGGAUAGCUUGCUAUGCGUGUGUGGUUGUGUGUGGAUUGAUGCGGGCCUUAACUUGUCGCUGGCUCGU
RNAcentral lists this ribosomal RNA (692 nucleotides) under Phytophthora colocasiae. RNAcentral describes it as "partial large subunit ribosomal RNA". It matches the Rfam family "Eukaryotic large subunit ribosomal RNA", at positions 84 to 628 of the family's 3401-position model. Lineage: Eukaryota; Oomycota; Peronosporomycetes; Peronosporales; Peronosporaceae. The record is from RNAcentral.